This 425-nucleotide ribosomal RNA is filed under the name uncultured bacterium. RNAcentral describes it as "partial 16S ribosomal RNA". It matches the Rfam family "Bacterial small subunit ribosomal RNA", at positions 354 to 796 of the family's 1533-position model. The record is from RNAcentral.
GUGGGGAAUAUUGGACAAUGGGCGAAAGCCUGAUCCAGCCAUGCCGCGUGAGUGAUGAAGGCCCUAGGGUUGUAAAGCUCUUUCACCGGGGAAGAUAAUGACGGUACCCGGAGAAGAAGCCCCGGCUAACUUCGUGCCAGCAGCCGCGGUAAUACGAAGGGGGCUAGCGUUGUUCGGAAUUACUGGGCGUAAAGCGCACGUAGGCGGAUCAGUCAGUUAGGGGUGAAAUCCCAGGGCUCAACCCUGGAACUGCCUUUAAUACUGCUGAUCUAGAGUUCGAGAGAGGUGAGUGGAAUUCCGAGUGUAGAGGUGAAAUUCGUAGAUAUUCGGAGGAACACCAGUGGCGAAGGCGGCUCACUGGCUCGAUACUGACGCUGAGGUGCGAAAGCGUGGGGAGCAAACAGGAUUAGAUACCCUUGUAGUCC